RNAcentral lists this ribosomal RNA (256 nucleotides) under uncultured bacterium. RNAcentral's name for it is "partial 16S ribosomal RNA". It matches the Rfam family "Bacterial small subunit ribosomal RNA", at positions 524 to 776 of the family's 1533-position model. The record is from RNAcentral.
UACAGAGGUCCCCAAGCGUUUGUUCGGAUUUACUGGGCGUAAAGGGCGCGUAGGCGGCGUAACAAGUCACUUGUGAAAUCUCCGGGCUUGACUCGGAGCGGUCAAGUGAUACUGUUGUGCUAGAGUGCGGAAGGGGGCUACUGGAAUUCUCGGUGUAGCGGUGAAAUGCGUAGAUAUCGAGAGGAACACCGGUGGCGAAGGCGGUUCUCUGGGCCUUACCUGACGCUGAGGAGCGAAAGCGUGGGGAGCGAACAGG